This is a non-coding RNA of Phrynosoma platyrhinos (Desert horned lizard), 72 nucleotides long. The record is from the annotation of a GenBank genome assembly. NCBI's taxonomy places the organism in Eukaryota, Metazoa, Chordata, Lepidosauria, Squamata, Phrynosomatidae.
UGUAGUGUAGGAUAGAGGUUUGAGCAUUGGACUAUGACUCUGGAGAUCAGGGUUCAAAUCCCUGCUCAGCCA